AUGAUGACCGGAUCCAUGUCUCUCAAAUUGGAGCAAGGAAUUUGGGCAUGGAUCCCUCUCUCAAUCACGUCUCUCUCUUUCUCUCAAACUCUCAGGUCUCUUCUCUCCUCACCUCAAAUUGCAGCACUUUUAUCCUCACUUCAAAUUGCAUCAAGGACUCUUCUAUCCUCACCUCAAAUUGCAGCAAGGACGUUGGGGCAUGGAUCUCCUGCGCUCAACGAGGUUAUCACAAUAAAUUAUUUUCCUCAUGUGGAUCAGAGAUCGGCUCGGGGCAGAACUAAGCCCAUAAGGCUAGCUUAUAAAUUAAGCCUGCAGCCUAACAUAGACCAUCUCAAAUCAAGGAGGCUCUGUGCAUUGUCAGCAUCGUCAUUGGUCAGAUUCUCCUAUUAG
RNAcentral lists this ribosomal RNA (390 nucleotides) under Triticum aestivum (bread wheat). RNAcentral's name for it is "partial small subunit ribosomal RNA". The record is from RNAcentral. Lineage: Eukaryota; Viridiplantae; Streptophyta; Magnoliopsida; Poales; Poaceae.